GGAUAUCUUCCGGCAAUUACCUGCUCUAUUGUCGAUUCGUCUUCAAUUCGUUUGACUGUCAGCUUCAGGUCCUCAACAACCCGGGUGAGAAGUCCGGCCAAACACUGGGAAAAGGCUAUGCUCAAGUUGUCUGUGUUUUGAACUUCUGAGAACGUUCCUUCAAUGCUAUUAUCUGCGAUAGCCUUGAGCACCCUUGGGUCGUGAUUUAUGCCAAAACCGAAUGUGUGUACAGGCACAUUGCCGACCGGAACCUGGGCAGCGUCACCACCGGUGUUCUGCUCACCAUCCACCAUCGGACAUAAGCAUGAUGCCAACCGAACGCCCACCGCUAAGUCUACGGUCAUUAAGCACUUUUAAGCCAGUUUGAAGGCCAGCAGUGAUGUUGGUUGCACCGUCGGCAUUUAAACCAUUGAUCAGAUUUUCAAGUUCCCUUUGAGAACUUUCAGUUAUCUGGCGCAAUGGGCACAACCUUGCAGCAUCCUUGGAGAAUGUUACAACAGACAAACGAUCAAUGGGGCUAAGUUUCUUGAUCACAAAUAGCAUGGCAGUUUUCACUUUUGCUAUCUUUUCUCCUUUCAUGCUUCCGCUGACAUCUAAUAUCGCCACAAGAUCCAAUCCGGGCCUGUCAUUGCUUGAAUCUCCACCAGUGAUCUCCAGCAUCACCCUGAGUUUGUUUUCUUCAAGUGGUACCAUAUUUUUAUUUAUGCUUAUCAGCUGUACUCUUCCAGGCACGAUUGCUGUUGGUUUUGACCCUGAGUCUUGAGGGGUAACAAUCUUCUCAUCAUCGUUGAAGCCCAUUUUGCCCAGAAAACUGAUCGAUACACACAAUAAACUGGAUUUGCUUUUUUUUUUUUUUUUAACUGGCUUACUCACACCUCAUGCCUCCCCAAAACUCCUCCAUUUAUAUUUGCGGAGAAGGAAAUACCUGAUUUACGAGUAAUGGACAUGAAUUUUUUUUUUUUU
Molecule: unclassified non-coding RNA, 963 nt
Filed under: Hevea brasiliensis (rubber tree)
Lineage: Eukaryota; Viridiplantae; Streptophyta; Magnoliopsida; Malpighiales; Euphorbiaceae
Source: RNAcentral